CCUGACUUUGCUGGACAGGGAAAGAAUAACUGUUGGGUCAAACAUGGAAAACUGUUUCACAGAAGAGUGACGCUUGCAGAGACACAAGGCUAAAUAAGCAAAGAGACAUUCAGAAACUCCAAAACAAGUGAUGAGAGACAGCUGCAUGCACCCAUAGUCUUAUGGAGAGAGUUCACCGUUUUCUGCUAGAUGUACAGCUGGAGGGUAGAAAUGAAAUCUUUCCGAAAAGU
This 230-nucleotide long non-coding RNA is filed under the name Struthio camelus australis. RNAcentral describes it as "lncRNA (ENSSCUG00000014081.1)". The record is from RNAcentral. Lineage: Eukaryota; Metazoa; Chordata; Aves; Struthioniformes; Struthionidae.